RNAcentral lists this ribosomal RNA (911 nucleotides) under Psychrobacter sp. RNAcentral describes it as "bacterial SSU rRNA". It matches the Rfam family "Bacterial small subunit ribosomal RNA", at positions 62 to 959 of the family's 1533-position model. The record is from RNAcentral. Lineage: Bacteria; Pseudomonadati; Pseudomonadota; Gammaproteobacteria; Moraxellales; Moraxellaceae.
UCGAGCGGUACAUUUCUAGCUUGCUAGAAGAUGACGAGCGGCGGACGGGAGAGUAAUACUUAGGAAUCUACCUAGUAGUGGGGGAUAGCUCGGGGAAACUCGAAUUAAUACCGCAUACGACCUACGGGAGAAAGGGGGCAACUUGUUGCUCUCGCUAUUAGAUGAGCCUAAGUCGGAUUAGCUAGAUGGUGGGGUAAAGGCCUACCAUGGCGACGAUCUGUAGCUGGUCUGAGAGGAUGAUCAGCCACACCGGGACUGAGACACGGCCCGGACUCCUACGGGAGGCAGCAGUGGGGAAUAUUGGACAAUGGGGGAAACCCUGAUCCAGCCAUGCCGCGUGUGUGAAGAAGGCCUUUUGGUUGUAAAGCACUUUAAGCAGUGAAGAAGACUCUUCGGUUAAUACCCGGAGACGAUGACAUUAGCUGCAGAAUAAGCACCGGCUAACUCUGUGCCAGCAGCCGCGGUAAUACAGAGGGUGCAAGCGUUAAUCGGAAUUACUGGGCGUAAAGCGAGCGUAGGUGGCUUGAUAAGUCAGAUGUGAAAUCCCCGGGCUUAACCUGGGAACUGCAUCUGAUACUGUCAGGCUAGAGUAGGUGAGAGGAAGGUAGAAUUCCAGGUGUAGCGGUGAAAUGCGUAGAGAUCUGGAGGAAUACCGAUGGCGAAGGCAGCCUUCUGGCAUCAUACUGACACUGAGGCUCGAAAGCGUGGGUAGCAAACAGGAUUAGAUACCCUGGUAGUCCACGCCGUAAACGAUGUCUACUAGUCGUUGGGUCCCUUGAGGACUUAGUGACGCAGCUAACGCAAUAAGUAGACCCGCCUGGGGAGUACGGCCCGCAAGGUUAAAAACUCAAAUGAAUUGACGGGGGCCCGCACAAAGCGGUGGGAGCAUGGUGGGUUUAAUUCCGAUGCAA